This 538-nucleotide ribosomal RNA is filed under the name fungal sp. SNB-LD6.5.2. RNAcentral's name for it is "partial large subunit ribosomal RNA". Lineage: Eukaryota; Fungi. The record is from RNAcentral.
CCUACCUGAUCCGAGGUCAACCUUUGGAAAAUUGGGGGGUUUUACGGCAAGAGUCCCUCCGGAUCCCAGUGCGAGACGUAAAGUUACUACGCAAAGGAGGCUCCGGGAGGGUCCGCCACUACCUUUGAGGGCCUACAUCAGCUGUAGGGCCCCAACACCAAGCAGAGCUUGAGGGUUGAAAUGACGCUCGAACAGGCAUGCCCGCCAGAAUGCUGGCGGGCGCAAUGUGCGUUCAAAGAUUCGAUGAUUCACUGAAUUCUGCAAUUCACAUUACUUAUCGCAUUUCGCUGCGUUCUUCAUCGAUGCCAGAACCAAGAGAUCCGUUGUUAAAAGUUUUGAUUAUUUGCUUGUACCACUCAGAAGAAACGUCGUUAAAUCAGAGUUUGGUUAUCCUCCGGCGGGCGCCGACCCGCCCGGAGGCGGGAGGCCGGGAGGGUCGCGGAGACCCUACCCGCCGAAGCAACAGUUAUAGGUAUGUUCACAAAGGGUUAUAGAGCGUAAACUCAGUAAUGAUCCCUCCGCAGGUUCACCUACGGAA